This 23645-nucleotide long non-coding RNA is filed under the name Capsicum annuum. Its description in RNAcentral is "long non-coding RNA (CANN_LNC015114)". Lineage: Eukaryota; Viridiplantae; Streptophyta; Magnoliopsida; Solanales; Solanaceae. The record is from RNAcentral.
AAAAAUUGACACGAACAAAUAAGAUUACCCAUGGUAGCCUGGAGAUGGAGUGCUCACCCUUGAAUCAAGAUCUUCAAUCAAAAUCUAGAGAUGAGGUCAUGCCUGGGCCUCUAGAACACUUUCUGCACUCAACAAAAGAAGAGUACAAGGUACUAUCAGUACAAAUCACUAUGUACUGGAAGGUAUUAUAGGCCAACUCAAUUUAAUAGUAUGUACAUAAAAUAAAUCAAAUAACAAGUAAACAGGCAUCAUCACAUAACAAAUAUUCAAUGAAUCAAUAAUACAACAACCACAGGUUAAACAGUGCUCACAAACAAGCCACAUAACCAUCAAGAGUAUCAACCAUACUGUAAACCUCCACAGAAUCAACACAAUAUUUACACACAUGCUAUGGGACUUAUUUUUAUCCAAAUAGUCAUGACUUGUAGGAAACAAUCUAUUUUCAUGUAUCAUGCCGGCGUGGUACCUGAUCCAACAUAUAGAUAUCCGUACCGGCGUAUUACCUGAUCCAACAUAUACAUAUCCGUACCGACGUGGUUCCCGAUCCAACAUUAAUAAGUAUUAUCAAUAUCAAAUUCACACAAUCUCACAACAUACAACAUAAUGUACCAAGUUUAAAAGUACACUUAAAAUCCUAAGACAAUUCCAUCAAGUAAAUUUUGAAUAAUCAUUUUACACGCAUCAAUAAUUCAAACAUCAACAAUUUCAAGCUUGUUCGAAUACCAAUCAACAAGUAUCCAAUUUAGUAUCAUACACACAAUUAAGUCGAGUCUAAACUCCAAUUAAACAAUAACCUACCUCAAUCGAAGAAUUCAAACACAAGCUAACUUGCCCAGGGUCUUGCCCUUCCUUAUGUUUCUGAAUGAUCAAAAUCUGAAGACUUCUCAACUUUCCCUUCAAAACCUCAAUGGUGAAAACUGAACUAUCGUGCCCUUUUUUCUUUCUUUCCUUUUCUCUCCACCUUUUGAUCUAUAUCGUGAUUGUUAUUAUAAAUGGUAAACCCUAAUCACCUAAUUUCAUCUUUAUAUUAACCCCAUAAGUAAAUAAAUUAUCAUAUUGACCUAUUAACUUAUUAAUUAAAUUAAUUAUUUAAAUUAUCCAAAACUUUAAUAUAUCCUUAAAGUUUUUUCAGGGUCCUAUGUAAAUAAAUCAAUGACUUAAAUCACUUUCGGACACUUUAGAAUCUAUAUUACCCCUUCUCGUAAGUUAUAAUUCAUGUAUACAGACUACGGGAAGAGCUAAAAUAAGAAAGAUUAGAAAAUUUAAAAAAUGACCGAGAGCGUUGUUUCACGACCGGUCGUUUGAUUUUUAUAGUCAUUUCUCUAUUUUGGAUCUAUUGAAGUGAGUAAAUAGUUUUGGGCCAAAAUUUUAGGUAAACGUUCUUGUAUGAAAAUUUUGAUGAUUUCAUCAGCUCCAAAAUAUUGCUUUUAGGGUAGUGGAAUCCUUGAUCUGAUUCCCGAGGCUUUCAGACUUAUUUUGGAUUAUAGGAUGGAUUUUAAUAAAACCAAAUCCUUAGGUGUAGGAGCCAUUUUUCAAUCAAAACGACCUCUGUUGAAAAUUUCGAUGGUUCAAAUGUCAUAUUUGGUAGGGUAUCAUAGAUUGUUUGCAUUCAUGGGAUUACAAAUGAAUUUUGAGAGUCUUUCUCAAGACUUCGCAAAUUGACAAAGUAGUCGGUGCAUCAACACCUGAUGCAAGACAAAUUGGCAAUUGGCCAUUGUGUUAAGGAAUCACAACCUCUAUGUUCUCCAGCUAACCUUCGUGUUUGCCAAGUGGAAUUCAUCCUGGCCGUUCCAGGCUCCUUCUACGCAAUCACGAUGGACCGCCUACAUUCUCAAAGGCCAGUCUUGGUGAGCCCCUAAGAUCGCAAUGAGGGUCCCACAUUCACAAAAAUAUACCCCUUAAAAAUAUAUUCCUCCCUUUAUUUUCAUCUUACAUACUAAAUAUAAAAAAAGUACUGCUCACAUUGGGAGCUCGUUAAUUAGUGAGGGAUUGUAUAUUGGAGCAAGGUUUGAGUUAUAAAUAUUGUAGUGAUCAUUUUCUCAUAGUUUUCUUGUAAGUUCUCGAUUUAAAUUUGAUUUAAUAUUCUAUUUUUUAUUAUUAUUUCUUCGAUUGGUUGGGAUUAUCUAGGGGCUAUUUUGGAGCUUGAAUUACACACAAUUUGGGGAAAGUGAUCCUUGAACUGUGAAACAAUUAAUGACAAAUUCAAUUGUCGAAUCUGUUGGUGGGCCCUACUAUUAGAGUUUAGAACGCUUUCUGAUUCCGAGUAUAAAUUUACAAUAUGAGUAUCUAUAUUUUCGUCUUGAUGUGUAGGAUAUUAUCUUGAUAACAUGAUAGCAGUCAGAGGCUUAGCAAAAGAAAAAACUCCAUUAUAGAGGUUUUUAUCUGCUAGGCUUACCUCUCUUUUAGACUUUUCUCUUCUACUAUUAAAAAUGGUGUUGUGCAAUCUAUGUUUGGGUUCUUAUGAUCCAUAUAUUAUUUUAGCAAUUUCUGAAUAUUCUUUGUCGAUUAGAGUUUUUUUAGGAUAAAUUUCGACCUUGUUUUCCUUAAAUUAAUAUCUCUUAUCCCCUUAGGAUUAGACUUAGCAUAGUAAGUGCCUUGGGAGGGAUUGUGAAGCCUUAGCCUAGGUUCAGGUAGGUGCUUGUAUUUUAUUGGAUGAUCAGGACUUAUAAUGGUCCUUAUAGCCCUUUCUAAUAUAGGUUGUUGUAAAAUAAUGUCCUUUUUAACUUAAUUUGGUUGUAAAGUAUCUUUAGGAGACUAAAAUUGGGAAUAGACUUCCUUGGUCGAGUUAGCUUCGAUGUUUUUGCCUUGUUAGUAUUUUAAACUGAAAUCGCGUCUUUAGACUUAAUAAAUAAAAUCUAGUUAUCCCUUAAUGAUUUGGCUUCUAAAAUGGAAGAAAGAGUUAGAUGGACUUGAGAUGAAUUAUUCAUUGGGAUAUUAUUACUUAAUGAUUUUAAAUUAUGAGUUCCUCUUUGAGUUCAACAUAUGUAUACUACUUUUAUUUAUGAGUUCUAUUUGCGAGUCUGACAUCUGGUUUAUUGCUAUUUAUCCAUUAGUUCAGGUUCAAGUUUAGUGUCAGUAAUGUUGUUAUUAUUCCUUAGUUUUGGUUUGAUUCUGUAAUUUAUUAUUAUUGUUGUUGUUGAUCUCAGGUUGGAAAUAUGAAGGACGAUAAGAUCUAUGGUUAUGGUCUGAGGAUGAGGAGUAUACGGUACACAUAUCGCAUAUCACAAUUCAUUUUACUUUUGUUGUGCUACUUCUGGUUUUUACUUUAGUUUUACUCUUGUUUAUUCCCACUGUGCUUAUGGGGGCUCAGUUGGGUCCUUGUGUGCAUCUUUUGGGCUUAUGGAGGUACAGUUAGUUAUAACUUGGUCUUUUAUUUCUAUUGUUAAGUUAUUUAUAUUUGUUUAUCGUCUUUACUUAGAAUAGCCUAUCGUUUCCAUUUAUAUCUCUAAAUUUUGAAUUUAGAAAUAUACUCACACUUCAUUUAUACUUCUAUUAUAACUAAGCUCAGUCGGACUAUGAUGCUUAUUAAAUACUCGUGUUUUGGUAAUCAUACUACACUUCUGUAUCUUUUUUCCUGAUGCAGACCAAAUACCGCCAUUAAUACUAACCUCGAUCUAUGCUAUGAAUCAAAGAUUAGGUCAGUUUUUUGAGUCUAAAGCAAUACUUCUCCUUUUGCUUUCAUAAUAGUCUUAUUUUAUAUAUUUUGAGACUAUGUUGUAGAUUUUGUCACUGUCCAGGACUUCUUUUAUGUUGUGACUCUUCUACUGACCUUGAAAAGUCUUGGGGACAUAUUUUGGUAUUUUUUUUCCUCUUCCCUAAGCCUACAUCUAGAGCUCAAGAUAAGGGUAGAGGUAAAGGCCAACCUUGAGGCCUAGGUCAUGCUAGGGCUACAGCCCUAGCUCAAGGCCAAGCUAGGGAGCCUUUACUAGAUCCGUUAUUGGUCUUGCAACUAAGAUAGAACCAGAGGAUCUGUCACUAGAACAACCAGUGAGCCGAGGGCAGCCCAGGCUCCACCCCAAUUUAUCUAUUCAUCGUAUCUCCAGGAUACCUUGGUAAAACUAUUGGGCAUGAUUGGGGUCAAUAAAUGGAUGGGGCCCAAACAUCCGUUCAGAGGUCAGCUGAGGGUGGAUUUGGUAUAGGAUCACAACCUACAACUGCAGCUUUUGGAGUAUAGACUUUACAAGCACAGGUAGGUACACUGAUAACAUUAGCCCAACCAGUAAUGACUUUUGAGGAGCAUAGAAUACUGGAUCGAUUUCUUAUAUUUUCUCCACCGAGGUUUAUAGAGCCACCAGAAGAAUAUGAAUUUGAGUUCUUUUCUAGAUGUGAGAGGAGGUUUUAUAAUUUGGAUCUAGUUGAGUCGGAUAGCGUGUAUUACAAAAACUUUUAGCUUGAUAGAGUAGUAAGACAAUGUUGGACGGGAUUUCUUAAAUUCAGGCCAAUUGGAUCUCCUCCUAUGACUUGUACUUAGUUCUCUAAGGCUUUCUUGAUGAAUUAGAUACCUUGCAAAAUAUGCUGGGAAAAGUUCACUGGGUUAUAGUAUACUUCUAUGAUAGUUGGGGAGAAUGAGGUGAUAUAUCACAAGUUAUCUAGACAUGCCACCAUUAUUCUACCCACCAAGUGUGACAGGAUACAAUACUUCAUUAGAGGAUCAAGACUUUUACUUCGUAUGGCCGCGCAAAGUCUGGUAGCUGUGGCUAGAUCUUUCAUUGAUGUUGCUAAUUAUGUUUACACUGGAAAGGUCUGCAUCGCGAGGCCAGUGGGGUCAAUAAUAAGAUACCUCUUAUGAGGGCAAUUAUAGUAGUAUUUAUAGUGGUUUUAGGUCCAGAGAUAGAGGUUUUCAUAGUCAUUAUCCUCAAUAGCAUCAUUAAAAUUCAUCAAGGUUAAUCUAGUAGGCCUGUUCUAGCAUCGCUUCAAAUUUUAGAUGGAGGCCAGCCUGGUUAUAGUGAUUUCUACAGAAAGGCAGUGGUCAACUAUCGAUAGGUAUUCAGGUAGGGUCUUUGGGUUGAGAAGACUAUUUCGGGUAAGCGGGAGCUUCUAGUGAGGUUAGAGUGCCCUAGGCAUGCUAUGAGUGUAGGUUUAUUGGUUAUUUUGCCAAUGAGUGACCCCAUUUUGGGAUACUUAAGCCUUCUGUACAGUGUGUUGCACCGAUCAGAUCAGUGCCAUCUUGAUACAAUAAAAGCUAGGAAGGCACAAAACACACUCCAAAAAAGUCCACGAAUCUUAAGGAUCCGAGGACCUUUUUGGAGACCACGCUCAAAAUUCACUACCAAAAACAAGAAUACAAGAUAUAAUGGUGUAAUUGACACCAAACAACCACAAAAAGUUAAGAACAAGGAGAUACCAACAACAACAACAAGAAGUUAACAACAAGUCACGAUUUCACUAGAACCAAGAACAAAUGGUUACAAGUUACAAACACUAACAAGAUUACAAUAAAAGUAAAGAGAUAGAUAGAUAGACCAAUGGUUGGUAUAAUCUUAAGAACCCAAGAACUUAUUCCACUCUUGGACCCGUAACACCACACAUAAUAAAGACCUAUAUCUUACGUGACACAAGAUCGGAUUCCACCUCUCAAGCAUCGGCGUUUCCAAUCAAAACACAAUCAAUAGUGAUUCCACACUAGUUUCUUAUCCUAGUUUCGGGUGGGAACUCUUCUCUACUAGAGAGAGAGAUUGUUACAAGAGUUCUACACUCACAAAUAUCUUCAAAAAUUAAGUAAUAAAACCCUACAUUGUUCUUUAUAUAUUGUAUUACAUAAUAGAAACUAAAAUGACCAAAAGGACCUUAAGUGAUGGGCGCCCAUCAAGUGUAGCCAAGUGUAGUGUUUGGACAGUUUUAUGGAGCAUAAUUAGGUCCUCUUUGGCUCUUCAAUUGCACACACCAAGUCUCAGACCCAACAUGCACUCCCAUAAGUCUAAAUCUGUGAUUAUUCUUGUAUAACCCUCUCCAUCUUGAGAGGUAUUUUCCUAUAAAUUCAUGGCUUCACCUCGUUCAAUUGUCCACUGCAAAGAAACCCACUCAAAACAGCCCGCAAAACAUGUAAUGGCUCAAAAUUGUCCACAAAAGCAUGAGGAGCCCGAGAUUUUCAUAACAAAAGUCUUGGCCAACAUCUUUAUUUUGACCUUCGGCUUCCUCUCUAUCUUGAGCCUUGUCUUCAAUCUCAUUCGAAACACAUUCCAGCUCUUUUAUUGGUGGUGGGUUCCUUGUGGAUUUCUAUGUCUUCCCCUCAACUUCUCUUCUAUCAUAUAAGCAUCAUUGUAGACUCUAUUUUUUUCAUCUUUCUUUCUACCUUACUCCUCCUCUACAUGGAUAUAUUUAUUUUGGUGAAGUGGACUUUCGAUUGAGAAGAAUGAUUUGGUAAGGUGGAGCUUCGAAUGUGGAGCUUGGAUAGGAGGAUAUUGACUUCCAAGUCCUUGUUGGACUUGAUCGAAUUAAGGGGGAAGUGACUUAUUUAGGUCUUAAGUUUGAGGACAUUUGUUGGCUUGGCUUAUGUCUAUGUCAUUUGGUAGUGGUCUUGGAGGAAUGAUCGUUUGAGGUAAAGUUUUGGGAGUAGAAACAUAAGAGUUCCUUUGAAUUUCCACUUGAUCCAACCUCUCAAGUAUAGUAGACAUGAUCUACAACUUGGUUUUGGCAACCCUUUCUAUCUUUGACUUCAAAGUCAAAUUCUUGAAGUAGCAGCACCCAUCUGAUCAACCUUGGUUUUGCAUCCGUUUUUGCAUCAAAUAUCUCAAGGCUGCAUAGUCAGUGUGGACCACCACCUUGGUUCCUAUAAAAUAAGCCCAGAACUUCUCAGAAGCAUAGGCUACUUCAAGAAGUUCCUGUUCUAUGACGGUGUAGUUCUUUUGAGUUCCAUUCAGCGCUUUGCUAGCAUAAUAGAUUGGAUAAAACAAUUUGUCUUUAUUUUAUCCCAGCACAGCUCUAAGGGAAACACCUCUUACAUCACACAUGAUCUCAAAUAGUUUUGACCAAUCUACUAAAACAAUAGUAAGGGCAUCAACCAACUUCUCUUUAAGUCAUUCAAAUGUCUUCAAACAAUCAUCAUCAAAGGAGAAUUUGAAUUCCUUCUCCAAGAGUUUGCAAUCUUUGAGAAGUCUCUUAUAAACCUCCUAUAGAAGCCAGUAUGACCAAGAAAUCUACGCACCCCCUUCAUUGAAAUAGGAGGUGGAAGAUUUUCUAUAAACUCAACUUUGGCUCGAUUAACUUCAAUCCCUUUUGCUAAAAUUUUGUGUUCGAGAACGAUGUCUUUAUUCACCAUGAAGUGACAUUUCUCCCAAUUAAGCACAAGAUUGAACUCCUCACACCUCUGCAAGGCCCUACUCAAAUUUACCAAACAUAUGUCAAACUAAUCUCUUACCACAGAAAAAUCAUCCAUAAACACCUCCAAGGUGUCUUCAACCAUAUUUGAGAAUAUCUAUAUUAUACACUACAGAAAAGUGGCAGGUGCAUUGCAAAACCCGAAAGGCAUCCUCUUAAAAGUAAAUAUGCCAUAUAGGCACGUGAAUGUCAUCUUCUCCUGAUCUUUAGAAGCAAUCAUAAUCUGGUUGUAACCAGAAUACCCAUCUAAGAAAUAGUACCAACCCUUUUCCCACUAGCUGAUCAAGCAUCCGAUCCAUGAAAGGCAUUGGGAAGUGGUCUUUCAAUGUCCAUGAGUUGAGUUUUUUUGUAAUCCAUACAAACCCUCCACCCAGUAAUAUGUUUGAGUGGGAGCAACUAUUUUUUCUGUUAGCCACCACUAUCAUGCCCCCUUUCUUGGGCACACACUAAAUAGGACUUACCCACUUACUAUCAGAGAUGGGGUAUACCACUCCUGCAUAUAGCCACUUGAUGAUUUAUUUCUUAACCACCUCUUGCAUAGGUGGGUUUAAACACCGCUGAUGCUCAAUAGUUGGGACAUAAUCCUCUUUUAGUUAGAUUUUAGGUAUGCAUAUACCAGGAGAAAUACCGAUAAUGUCUGUAAUCGUCCAACCAAUAGCCCUCUUAUAUCUCUUAAGAAUAGAGAGAAGGGCUUCCAUCUGUUGUUUACCUAAGUCAGCUAUAAUAAUAACAUGGAGUGUAUUCCCACAGCCCAAGAACACAUACCUCAAAUGACCAGGCAACUCCUUCAGCUCCAAAGUGGAUGGCUCUUCAAUAGACGGCUUGGAUGGUCGACUGGGAUGAUUUUUCAAGUCCAAAUCUAGCUUCUUGGGUGCAUAAGAAUAAGACCCCAUGCCUGUCCAGGCACACACAGUUUCCUCAUAAUCUUCAAUAUUGUCUUGAUCAAAAUUCACUAAUACGACAGCUAAAGUCUCCACAACAAAUUUUUCUUCUAUAGGUACUUCCUGCUCCUCCUCAUAAUAAAAAUUCACAAUAGAAAAUACGCUCAUAUCUUUAUGCUAUUUCAUGGAUUGGUAUACAUUGAAUUGAACUAUUUCAUUAUUCAGCCUGAACAGUAGCCCAUUUUCCUUUAAAUCAAUAAGCACACACCCAGUUGUGAGGAAAGGUCUACCCAAGAUUAUGGGCACCUCGAAGUCUACCUCGCAAUUGAGAAUGACAAAAUCAGCUGAAAAUAUGAAACUGGCCACCUUAACUAAUACAUCAUAUAGAAUCCCCACAGGCCGCUUCACAGACCUGUCUGCUAUAACAAAUCUCAUGUUCGUGGGAGUAGGAUCCCCCAAACCCAGUUUCUUAUACAUAACAAGUGGAAUUAAUUUUAUACUAGCUCCAAAAUCACAUAGAGCUUUUGCAAAAUCAAGAGGCCCAAAGUGCACGGGAUAGUAAAUGCUCCUGGAUCUGCCUUCUUCUGUACCAACGGCCUUGUGGAAAUAACGCCAUAAUGAUGGAGAUUGUCCAUUGUCUCAUAUCUAACUGUCCACUUCUUUAUAACAAGGUAUUUCAUGAACUUAGCAUACCCGAACAUUUGCUUCAAUGCCUCUACCAAUAGCAAGUUGAUUGUCAACUGCUUAAGCAUGGACAUAAACUUGCCAAACUUUAUGUAGUCGGCCUUUUUUUUUCAACCGAUGGGGAAAUAGAGGAGGUGGUUUUGGGAGCGUAAUAACCACCAAUUCAGUCUUCUUUCCCCUGCUCUUCUCCAACUCAUCAACCUGCUGAUGGUUGGAUGGUGUAUUAUAAAUAACUUUAUCCAGUUUCUCAAACUCCACUGGAUAAGUUUCUUUAUGCUUAAUAUCUUUUGCAAUCACAGCUUUGCCCACAGACGGGCAUGUUAAAACCUUAUCACUCCGUAUGGUAAUUUUCUUGCAGGAGCUAUUAUUUCGAUGAUUCUGAACUGUAUCACUUGGAAAAGUUUUGCUCUUUCUUUGAUUUAAUGCUACUGAGAAUUGGCUCACUUGCUGCUCUAACUAUUUGAUAGAAGUAGAGUGAGUUUACCAACUGACUCAUAGAAGACAAAUCACUCUUUAUAGUAGUUACCUAAGAGUUGGUAGUCUCAACUCACUUUAAUAAUUUCUCUAUCACGUCCUCUAUAGAUAUCUUGCCAGAGCUAGUUGUAGCAUUAUCUUUGCAUCCAGGAGGUAUAUAUAGUCCACUUCUAUCAUUUUUGAUCUUCUAGUUCCCUUGAUCUCUAUCUUUGUAACCAACUUUGUCAUAAUAGUUCUGAACUUAAUUUCCUUGGCUAUUGCCUUAGAAACAUCCCUGAUUAUUUUGAUAGUUUACCUGUUCUUCCGAAUCAGAAUCAACUUUUCCCUAGGAUGCAACAACUUUUACCUUCUCUAUUUUUCGAGACAAUAGAUGCUUAGUCAGCAAAUCUGUAUCUGUCUGUGUCUUUAAAUAUGCCAUAUCCUGGUCAUGUUUUUCUUCCUUCUUGCAUUGCUCUAUAGUCAUACUACCAGACACAGUAGGGCAUACUAUCAUAGAAUCCCUGGUAUGCUAAGCUCUACUCUAUUUGGUUAUUUGAUUGAGCAUCUCUGAGGCCUCUGGAAAAGUAAGGUCAAAAAAUGAUCCUCCUGCAUCAUUAUCCAUGACUGGCUUCGUAAUAGAGUUCAACGCCCGAUAAAGAGUCUUCGUCAAAUAAAUAUCCAUCAUGUUAUGGUUUAAGCAUUGCAUCAACUUCUUUUUAAACCUCCCCAGGUCUCAUGAAGAGCUUCAGUGGGAAGCUGUUGAAAGUUACUGAUUUCAUCCAUCAACUGUACCCUUCUGGAUAGUGGAAAGAACCUUUCUAGGAAAUCCUCUUUCAACUGCCUCCAGUUGGUUAUAGAGUCGGGAGUCAAUUUAUUUAGCCAUAGUGUCACCUCUCCAGACAGACGAAAAAAAACAUAGGCGGAUAGCUUUCUGACCCAUUUUUAGAUUAUCAAAAGACUUACAAAUGGUGACAAAAUUCACCAAAUGCAUGUUUGGAUCAUCUCCAGGAAGACCACUGUACAACCCCUUAAGAUGAAGGAGUUGAAUCAUCGUACUGGUAAUAUUAAAUUUAGCUCCUGGUGCUAGAGGUAGAGGAAUCAUAGAUCCAGUUGCACCUACUCCAUCCAUUCCAUAUUCAUCGCCGUUUAGAUCAAACUACACCGGUUGAUGCUCUUGCCUUGCCUUAAAAGGGCAAUUUCUGUUUACAUUUCGAUUCACUGGUGCAACCGUAUUUUCUGUAUGCCUUUGAUUAACAGGAUCUAACAAGUCGUCAUCCCCUAAAUCAUUAUCAGGAUUAGGAUGACGUGCCUGCUGGCUGUUAUUCUACUAAUUUAGUUAAGCUCUAGCCAGAGCGGUUAGUCUUUCAGUAUCUUGGGGAUCUGCCAUUCUGCUAAUUAACUGUGGUUCCAGAUGUAUUGGUAAUAAUGGUGCUCCUGAUCUCCUUGUACUUGGCAUACACAAUAACUUCCCUACAUAGAACAAAAACAACAAACAAAGUAAAAUUUAGGCAACUUGACCAAAGGUCAAUUAACAAGCACAAACUUAAUUGACAACCGUACUCCCAGACAAUGGCACCAAAAUUUGAUACGCCUAAAUUACACCUCUCUUGCGAGAGAGUAAGCGGUCGCUGUCAAAUAUAGAACCCAAUUAGGUUGGGUAUCGAAUCCCACAGGGAAUACUGUGUUCACUAAGUAUUGUGAUUGUUAUUAAACUAUUGAUCUAAGGUUCCUGAGUAAAAAGGGGUUUUGAUGUGUUAAUAAUGCUCUUUCGUUCUUGUAUCACACAGUGGUCCAGCUAACGAGAGUUAAUGCACGUGUAAUUUUAAUGAAAAAGAGUUAACUAGAGUUAUGCUCACCAAGAUGUUCAAACAGUUCGGGUUGUGAACUUGUGCUUGAAUUCUAACUUAUACUUUCAAUUGCAAGAAGUAUUGAAUUCUAAGAAUUACCCACUUGUUUCUCAACCUAAUAGGUGCUUUACCAUUUUCUCCUUUUGAACUUAAAGGAUCCAUGUAUAACUCAAUAGAACUCUCAUGAGGGUUGAUCCCAUUAGGGCAUCAACCCGUGACCCAAAGGGUAAACCUAUGGAUUUCAUAUGAAUCACCUCUUUUCCCAACAUCCACUUUCUUGUUAGCAAAAGUGGUAUUCCUGGGCUCACUUCUAGAGUUUUCAACCAAGAGAUUUCAUUAAAAUGAAAAGAGAUUCGUCCAAUUUUGAUAGAUGAUAGAAAUUAAAUGGAUUCAUAAUCCCAAAUAGUUCUCUACAUCAAGGCUACCAUAAUCCUAUUUAUGGGAGUUUAGCUACUCAUCUCCAUAUAAGAUAUCAAAGAUAUAUUGAUGUGCAUAAAUAACUUUAAGAGAGUACUUACAUAAGUUACAAUACUGUUCUUCUCAAUCUUUAAUGAAAACAAAUAGAGAAUAAUAAUCAGAUCUUAAUUUCUAGCUUCCAAUCUCCAAAAAAAGUGUUACACAGCUCUCAAAUAGAGAAGAAAGUAUGAUACUACUGACAAAAGAUGCAGAAUAAAACCUAAUACUUGGUAUUUAUAUGUUUUCAGAACUGGGAUUUUAAAAUUCAAACUCGGUGUUGCCGCUUCAUGCUCGACGAGUCGAGCGACGAUUUGUUGCUGGUCAUUUUUCCUUUGUUUUGUCCAGUUUAUCCAAGUUAUUCUUCAUACUUAGUUCUUAUCUUGAAAUCACUAAAACACCAUGUUAAAUACAACAAUCGUUGCUUGAAAACACAUAAUUCUCCAAAGAAAAAGGCCUAAAAUGUCACGUCAAAAGCCGUAACAUAAUACUUCUCCUUAAAAAAUGGGCUCUUGUUUUAUAGAAAGUAGUUGAGAUGGGAUGUAAAGUCUCUUUGGUUUUUGGGGGUCUUUCAAGACUUAACAAGUACUAAACCUUGUCUUUUACCUUUCUAAGAUCUAAAGUUCACUUUAAGGUUAACAAGUUGAUGAAUAUGGUGAAGAACUUUAAGAACACAACAACCACAACAAGAACAACCAACAACAAUAUUCCAAUAACAACAACAAGUACACAAUAACAAGGUCAACAAUCUCACGGCCAAGACCACAAGGAAAGCAGCAACAAUCGACCAACUCCCCUUUGUGUUGUGUGAUUGGUUUUGCAAGAUAUGUAGGUUGUAAUGAAUAACAAGAACACAACAACAACCUUUCAAGAUCUAAAACAACACCAAAAUACAAGGCCUUCAACUCGGUCAAGGCUAGAUGCAACACCUCAAUUUUUUGAACCUGAACACUACACGGUGCUCAUGACCCCGAAGGACCACAAGCUAAACCCAUGACUGAUAUCUACACCUUUACACUGUAUAAUAUAUGAAUAUAAAUGCAGAAACAUAAACUGAAAGGCCAUAAGGUUCAAUAAUGAACAUAAUUUGAAUAAAAACAAUGUCUGAAUAAAGCAGUAUCAUAAUACCAAAAUAAAACUGAAAUACUGAAGUCUGAAUCUAGUCUGUAAUCUAGUCUGAAAGACUCUAACGGUCUAAAUUAGAGAGUGGAAGGAACAUGUCUCUAAAUAACUCAUAACUACUGAAAGCUAACUGAAAUGCUGAAGUAAUAAAGUAGUAAUCAUGUCCUUGGAGAAUGAGGACUUACUGCUAAGUCUGAUUGAUGAAAUCUGCAAUGCUACUGCUGCUUUAGAACUCGUGUCUUUGAACCUAUGGCGUAAAAUAAAACAUCAUAGCGCAAAUGCAUUAGUACGACUGAAUGUACUGAGUAUACGAGUGAGGUAGGCUAAAUAUAAAGGGUUUAUAUGCAUGAACAAUGCUGACUGAUAUGAACGUGAGAAUAAAUACAUGCAUAAAUAACUAUAACUAAACUUGUGGUAAUACUAACUACUGAAUCUGAAUGUUGACAAGAUGAGUGUACUGAUACUAGAUACUGAAUAGAUGAAUGACUAUUUCUGAUAGUUCGAAUUAUGAAGAACUGGUCUGAUUGACUGUGUCUAACAGUCCUAAAAUUGAAUACUGCUAACAUGAGUUCUGUGAACUGAUAUAAAUAAUAACAUGAGUGACUAUAUCUAACAGUCUAGAUUAUGAAGGAACUAACUGAGUUCCAUUCUGUAUAAAGUAACUAAACUGAGAUCGGUCCUAUCUAGCGGGUAAUCUCUGAGUAUAAUAAUAAUAAAGAUGAUUUGACUUAGUCUGAGAUCAGUCCUACCUAGCAGGUGAUCUCUAAAUCUGAUGAUACUAAUACUGAUUGACCAUAGUGGAGAUCAGUCUUACUAGUGGGUGAUCUUGGACUCUAUUAAUAAUGAUAAGGAUUGACUGUAUCUAACAGUUUUGAAUCUGUACUACUAACCUGAAUUGACUGUAUCUGACAGUCCUGAUUCUAUAACUAAAACUGUGGGAUGUAUUCAUCUAACCGACAUGCCCCUUUCUAGCUAGUCUGAGGUCCAACCUGUAACCCCAGUUGUAAGGGUGUCAGUACCGCGUCAUUGGUAAAGAAAACUGUUGUAGAGUCUGUCCUAAUCUAGUGGGUGACCCCUAGGAUCAAUCAUAUACAUUUAAAUAUGCUAAUGGUUGAUCCCUGAGUAUGUCAGUCCUACCUAAUGGGUGACAUCUCGUACCUACGCUAGCUACAUUGUUCUGGAACUUAGGGAUUGCUUCUAGAGAUCUCAGUCCUAUCUAUUGGGUGAUCCCCCAUCCCUAGGCUCGCUCGGUGCUGAAUCCUACUCCCAACUGAAAAACACUGAACUGAUUUACUAAACUGAACUGGACUAAGUUCCGUUAUCUACAAAAUACUGAUUGAUUACUACUGAACUCUACUAGCUGACUGAGUUUACUGAAUUUGCUGGAUUUCACUGACUGACGAAAAUAUUACUGAGAUCUGAUGACUGACUGAGAGUAUUGAGAUUAUAAAUAUUUCUAGGAAUACUGAGGUUACGGAGAUUUAUAAGUACUGUGAUCACUGAGAUUUCUGAACUACUGAGAUUACUGAGAUUUUUGAGUUUUCCUAAGUCACAUGACUGACUGAAUUCUAUAGAUCAUGGCUUGGUAGAGAGUAUUAUGAUAACAUAACAUGGCUCUAGGCACACAACUAUAUUUUUCGGGUACAAGUACCCCCAGGACUCGAUGGAAGGAACCUGACACACAUGACACUUCUUGAUUAUAGGAAUAGAAUCCACAAUUCAUAAUACCAUAAAUAGGGGAUUUCAUACUACACAUGGUUCUCAACAUCGUAUGCAUGGAAGGAAAAGGCAUCUCGUUGAACUUCCUUAUGCUCCUGGCUUCGAUGAACAAAACAUCCCUACUAAAGCCAGACCCAUCCAAAUGAAUCACGAGAUGAUGGAGAUCUGUAAAACAGAAAUCAAUCACCUUCUCAAGAAAGGAAUCAUUCGACCUUCAAACUCCCCAUGGAGUUGUUCAGCAUUCUAUGUAAACAACAGUGCUGAAAAGGAAAGGGGAACACCCAGACUCGUAAUUAAUUACAAACCCUUAAAUGCUGUCCUCAAAUGGAUUAGGCAUCCAAUCCCUAACAAAAGGGAUCUUCUGAAACGAACUUAUAAAGCUAAUCUUUAUAGCAAGUUCGAUAUGAAAUCCGGUUUCUGGCAAAUCCAAAUUGCCGAAAAGGAUAAAUAUAAGACAGCAUUCAAUGUCCCUUUCGGACAUUAUGAAUGGAACGUUCUACCCUUUGGGCUUAAAAAUGCCCCUUCCGAAUUUCAGAAUAUUAUGAAUAACAUUUUUAAUGAUUAUUCUUAUAUGUCCAUUGUUUACAUUGAUGAUGUAUUGAUCUUCUCUGAGAAUAUUGAUUCUCAUUUUAAACAUCUUAACACUUUCUUUAAGAUUGUAAAAUUAAAUGGUUUGGUAGUAAGCGCUAAGAAGAUGCAACUCUUUCAAACCUCCAUCCGAUUUCUAGGACAUAAUCUACACCAAGGAAGUCAAAAGCCCAUCUGUAGAGCUAUUGAAUUCUCUACCAAAUUUCCUGACGAAAUUACGGAUAAAACGCAACUUCAAAGAUUCUUAGGAAGUCUAAAUUAUGUUGCUGAUUUUAUUCCUAACAUUAGACAGGUCUGUGAACCUCUUUACCAACGUCUUAAGAAGAACCCAGUUCCAUGGGGUCCUGAGCAAACUAGAGCAAUCGUCAAAAUUAAGUCUCUAGUAAAAAACCUUCCUUGUCUAGGUAUCCCCAAUCCAGAUGCCUUCAUGAUUGUUGAAACAGAUGCCUCAGACCUAGGAUAUGGAGGUAUACUGAAGCAAAGAGUCACUACUACUUCUUCAGAACAAUUAGUGCGUUUUACCUCAGGAAUAUGGAAUUCAGCCCAGAGGAAUUACAGUACUGUCAAGAAAGAAGUUUUAUCUAUAGUGCUAUGUAUCACUAAAUUCCAAGAUGACCUUNNNNNNNNNNNNNNNNNNNNNNNNNNNNNNNNNNNNNNNNNNNNNNNNNNNNNNNNNNNNNNNNNNNNNNNNNNNNNNNNNNNNNNNNNNNNNNNNNNNNNNNNNNNNNNNNNNNNNNNNNNNNNNNNNNNNNNNNNNNNNNNNNNNNNNNNNNNNNNNNNNNNNNNNNNNNNNNNNNNNNNNNNNNNNNNNNNNNNNNNNNNNNNNNNNNNNNNNNNNNNNNNNNNNNNNNNNNNNNNNNNNNNNNNNNNNNNNNNNNNNNNNNNNNNNNNNNNNNNNNNNNNNNNNNNNNNNNNNNNNNNNNNNNNNNNNNNNNNNNNNNNNNNNNNNNNNNNNNNNNNNNNNNNNNNNNNNNNNNNNNNNNNNNNNNNNNNNNNNNNNNNNNNNNNNNNNNNNNNNNNNNNNNNNNNNNNNNNNNNNNNNNNNNNNNNNNNNNNNNNNNNNNNNNNNNNNNNNNNNNNNNNNNNNNNNNNNNNNNNNNNNNNNNNNNNNNNNNNNGACCUUCGCCCAAGCAGUAAAUCCUGCUGCAGCAAAAGUUAUUCCUCCCUCUCCUGCUAAAGAGGAAUUCAAAUUCGUUACUUCCACGGUACUGCCUAUCAUUGCUUUAGAUAAGGCUUACGAAGGAUAUCCAAUCAAUCAGCUGGUCAAACCGGUAUAUACUAACAACAACUUUGUGGAUACAGAAGAUCCACUAAAAACCCGGAGAUAUUAUGAAGCUAUUCUGGUCGAUACAGAUUCGAUCGAAGUUGAACAUUCACUGGAUAAUAAUAAUCCAGAUUAUAUUAGUUAUUCAAAAUUCACCAUAAAAAGGAUAUUAACUCCUUUUAAUUGGUUUGUUGAUCACUUACAUACCCCCGUUGCUCUAUCAAUGCCGCAUAGGCCCCAGACCUACAAUUGGCAUGAUUACAGAGCAGCCUGGUUUAAUUUCAUUUAUGUUCGCCCAGGACAUACUUGGUUUGUUAAAUAUUGCCCUGCCAUGAUGGAAGCCACUAUACCUAGAUGGUUCUAUGAAUGGUGGACCUGCUUCGGGGGAACUAAAGAUGUUCUCCCCCAACAAUUUCUUAACAGAUUUCCAGACUUCCUAGUAAAGGAAGGUUGCUCCACUUUGCCUGAGCACAUUCAAAUGUGCAAAUUCUUUAUAAAGAAAAGAGUAUCAUAUAUUAUUUCCUGGAACUUCUCUAAAGAAGAGCAACACAGGAUCAAAUACUUAUCCAAGGAGAUCAAAAUCAAAGGUUGGACUCCAAAGCCAACCGCUCCCAAAACUCCAGACAAAGAAAAAGCUGCCACAACGGCUUCCCCCCAUUCCUCUACUUCAAAGAAAGUUUUAAAAGAAAAAUUAAAACAAGCACUGGCCAAACUAGAUGGACCAGACUCUACAGACAACACCGAAGAGUUGUUACAACUUAUCGCUGAAGCAUCCUCAAUCGGAAGCAGUAGUGACAAUGGCGAUAUGCUAGACCCCAAAGGGAUAGCUCUAGCCUAUCUGGAUCCCUAUUAAGAAUAGGGAAAUAAUCUUUCCAAGAGAUAGAGGUCCAAAGGGCCGGAAUUACCUCUUGAAAAGACAAUUCACUAUUCCUAAAAGGAAUCCAGCUGUCUCACUAAUAGACAAGAAGAACAAGCUCUGCUUUUCAAAAAGCAAGCAUCAUUUCAGACACUGCUUUUCAAAAGCAGCCACUACUGGUUCUGCUUUUCAAAAAGCAAGCAUCAUUUCAGACAUUGCUUUUCAAAAGCAGCCACUUACUUUUGUCGGCAACAUCUUAGCCGUCCACCUGUAUUAAAUCUAGUACACUUGAUGUAUUUCGUUUGCCUAUAAAAGGCCACACUCCCCUUUAGAGAAGGCAUUCAGAAAUUUCCCCAAUACGAAAUUCUCUCUGCCCAUUCUCUUAAAGCUCUCUUGUAAUGUUUUCUUGAAAGUUUCUAAUAAAAUUUGUAAGUUUGUUUCUACUUCUCUUAAUCUUAUUGUUUUACUCACAAUAAUCUAACUAUUAAAUAAAUAGUAUCUACGAUCCGUUUUCUUGGUAUCAAAGCCAUGUUGGCAGGUUAUUUGUUUAACAUGAGCAGCUAAACAAAUAAUCUGUCUAGAGCAUGAGCUAAAUUAUAUUUAUAAAAGAGCAUGUUAUUUUAAUCUAAGUAUGCUUUACCUAAAUAUUUAAUUAUGUUAUUAUGUCUUGUCUUAUAAUGGGGUUUUAAUGCAAGUUCGGGGUUUCUAUUUACUGGUUAAGUGUUUGACAGAACCGAUUAAUCUCCGGUGAGGACGUUGGUCAGCCUGAAAGUAUAGGUCGUUAAGCUUAGGAGAAGCGCGUUAGACCUUGUUUGGUGGUCCCGUCACUGAGAAAACACUUAGCAGUCCUUAGAGUAAUGCCAUUAAAACUUGUUAAGAUCCCAUAAGCCAUAGAUGUAUUUGCAUAAUUAUAUUUGGUUACUGCAUACUUGGUUUCAAUAACAUGUCUGUUUUAUAAAUACUUAUUUGCUCUGUUAGUCUCUAGGCAACCUUGUUUAAACUAUGAACAGUCAUGUUAAAAACACUGUUAACCUUUCUUCUUCGGCAACUCCGAUUGCCACUAUCGAAAAUGAUCUUCAAAACUGGAGCAUUCCAGAAGAAUCUUUCAAUACUAUUUAUCAAAUAGGGAAAUUUAGUUUUUUGAAAAAACAUAACAUCAAGACCUCUGAGUCUACUGUUGCCAUUAAUAAUUCUUUGGAAAUUAUUCAAUUGCUCAACGAAUUAGAUAUAAACAGAUUUAAAAAUCAGUUUAAUUAUCUGCAUGUUGGACUUGUUCAAGUAGCUAUUAAGCCACUGUUCCGACAAGGAUUAGACAUCCCUGUCUGUGCUCUUCUACGAGAUGCUCGUCUAUUAAAUUUUGACGAUUCGCUCUUAGGAGUAAUCCAAAGUAACCUCGCCGACGGCCCGGUAUACUUUAACUGCUACCCAAAUUUCUCGGUCGAUAUCAAUGAUCCUAACAUCAUGGACGUUUUAACACUAAAUGUUAAAACUAAAAACAUGAACAGUAAGGAUAAUACCCGAGAAAUAGCGAUCAUAUACAGAGUAUAUUAUCGACUCAUGGGUACUNNNNNNNNNNNNNNNNNNNNNNNNNNNNNNNNNNNNNNNNNNNNNNNNNNNNNNNNNNNNNNNNNNNNNNNNNNNNNNNNNNNNNNNNNNNNNNNNNNNNNNNNNNNNNNNNNNNNNNNNNNNNNNNNNNNNNNNNNNNNNNNNNNNNNNNNNNNNNNNNNNNNNNNNNNNNNNCGGAGUUACUCCGAAAGAUCUCAGAUCGAACGGGUUAUUCAACACCCAGAUGGAUCUAUAGAUCUAAAAUUCUUAGGAGUCGACCCUUCUCGACUCUCUUCAUCUCGAAGGUCCGUCUCCUCAGGUGCCUCUUCCUCUAAAAACCAACGUGAACCUAAUGAUCACGACGGCCCCGAUGAUAAGGGAAAGAUUAGGGGAGUUGACUACUCCGGUCUUGAAAGGGGAAGCUUUAAUGACUUCGUUAGAGUAGGAAAUAUUGAGUCCUUCUAAAGGAGGAGUGGUGGAUUCGACUACGGUGUUUCGCUGAGUAUACCAUUUGGUAACGAUGGCGAGUCAUUAUUGCAGUCAGGACGGAUCAUAACUUUGAUCAGGAAGGUAUCCUUAUACCAUCUGAAGUCUGCAAGAUUUUUGCAGCGAAGGUUAUUAAGGAUUUCUAGACUUCUAUCUUGAAAGAGUUUUGGUUCUCCUACAAAGUGUCUAGCUAUGUGGUAGAGGAGAGUUGCACAAGCAUCUUCUUGUGCUUCUUGAACUACGGUUUCUCGACCAUCUACGGUGCGAGCAACCUGUUCAAUAGCUGUAGCAUUGUAAAUGAGGUUCUUUUCGUCCUCAGAAACAUAAUUGUCCCACCAAUGUUUGAGCAUACCGGUGAAUCCCGAGACAACCAUGGUGGCGGCUCCUUUGUCAGAGAAACCUUUAAUUUUGUAGGCUGUGAUAGCCACGGCAAUCUCAUGGAGUUUAUUGUAGAUUUGGUGUUCGGCCAAACCAUCAAUAUUCCAUUCGGUUAUGACUCGUCCAUCAUGACUGGAUGUGGAGAGGAAAGGAUUUUCUUCGAAUUGGACAUCCGGAGGAGAAGGUUUUCGGUAAUAGUUUUUUCUAGUGGAAAAUCAAUCACUAGAAAGUUUAGAGAGAGAGUUCUUUUCUUUAGAACUGGAAGCAUCUUUAGAGCUAGAGGGCUCUUGAGAGAUUUUGAACUUGGUGAGUUUGGAAUUAAUUUUUUCCAAGAUUUGUUCUGACAAUUUAAAAUCGUCAUUCAGAUUUGGAAACUUAUCUUUAUGAAACUCUGGGAGUUUAAAGAUAGGGUUGGAAAGAGGUUUAGAGCAUGGAGUGCUCUUGGUUGGUAAUGGGGCAGAAAGGGGAGGACUUUUGGCGUCCUCUAAUAUUUUAGUGUAAAUGGAGAAAAAUUCCGUGUUUUUGACUUAUAUAGGGUGGGAAAUUGACCAAAUUACCCCUCAAGGCACGAAAAUAGAAUGCUAAAAAACUGGACAAAAGCCUAUAGCCAGGGUGGGGCCUUGAUAUUCCCCCGCUCUAUCCAGGGCGACACCUUGCUAUAACGGUGGAGUUUCCAGGGCGGCGCCUUGGCUACAACGGUGCUAAAAGAUGGGCGACGCGGGCUAAAUACCUUUUGCUACUGGUUUGGAAAUCCAAACAUGCCCUUACGAUAUUCGAAAAAUUCUGAAAUUUACCUAGGAUGUACUAAGGCCUUGCCCCAUCGUAAUACAAUUUGAAAAUCUAAAAUCGAAGGUCGGAAAGAUCAUCAACUAAAUCUCCAAAGUUCAGAGGUCUAAAAUAAGACUAAGUGUUGAACACUUAGCAAAAUUUUCUAAGUCUAGGAGCUUGUAAAGCCUAAUGAGAUGAAUUUUAGACCUAGGAUUUUACGGGGUAUUACACUCGAACAACAAGAACAUCCAAUCGGCCACACUUGUUCACAACAUAAUUUUAACAAGUUCAAGCUCAAAUCUAGAUCUAGACUCAAAGUUCUAGUGAACAAGAAAACCAACCCUUUGGAACAACUAAAAAAAACAAAAGACACCAAGAUCUAGACACCACAACUUAGCCAAGACAACAACAAGAAGAACAACAAUUUCUGGAAUUUUCAGCUUUUCAAUAAUUUUUUUUGAUUUUCUAAUAAGCAAGCCCAAGAUUGAUCUUGCUGAUCAAGCCAUGCUUUGAUACCAAAUGAUAUAAUAAAAGCUAGGAAGGCACGAAACACACUCCAAAACAGUCUACGAAUCUUAAAAAUUCGAGGAUCUUUUUGGAGACCACUCUCAAAAUUCACUACCAACAACAAAAAUACAAGAUAUAAUGGUGUAUUUGACACCAAACAACCACAAAAUGUUAAGAACAAGGAGAUAACAACAACAACAAGUCAUGAUUUCACUAGAAACAAGAACAAAUGAUUAUAAGUUACAAACACUAACAAGAUUACAAUAAAAGUAAAGGGAUAGAAAGAUAGACCAAUGGUUGGUAUAAUAUUAAAAAACCAAGUGCUUAUUCUACUCUUGGACCCUUAACACGACACACAACAAAUACCUAUCUCUUACGUGACACUAGAUCGGAUUCCACCUCUCAAGCCAUCGAUGUUUUCAAGUAAAACACAAUCACUAGUGAAUCUGCACUAGUUUUUUAUCCUAGAUUCAGGUGGGCACUCUUAUCUACUAGAGAAAGAUCUUUUUACAAGAGUUCUACACUCACAAAUAUAUUUAAAAACUAAGUAAUGAAACCCUACAUUGUUCUUUAUAUAGUCUAUUACAUAAUAAAAACUAAAUGAUGAAAUGGCCCUUAAGUGACGGGCGCCUAUCAAGUGUAGCUAGGUAUAGUGUUUGGACAAUUUUUGGUGUAUAAUUAGGUCCUCUUUUUCUCUUCAAUUGUACACACCAAGUCUCAGACCCAACAUACACUCUCAUAAGUCUAAAUCCAUAAUUAUUCUUUUAUCAUACCUCCAGCUAGAGAUGGUGCAUGGGGCUACUCGGGUGGUUCUCAAGGUUCUAGUGAAGUCCUCGGGCAGAUAGGGUAGGUUGUCGGGUAGGCACAUAGUCUGGAUAUGGGAAGGGUCAUCUAUAUGUUGUUCCUAGUAAGUUGGAGGUUGAGGCUUCAGAUGUUGUCAUUUUAUCUACGAUUUUUGUAUGCAAUCAACCAACUUCUUCUUUAUUUGAUCAAGGCUCCGCAUAUUCAUAUUCUUCUACCUAUUAUGCAUCUCUAUCGGUGCUGUCUUAUGAGAUAUUAUACGUGCCCAUGUGUAUGGCUACUUCCGUGGGUGGUUUUUUAGUAGUGAAUUGGGUAUAUCGAUCUCUUAUGGUGACUUUUCAAGAGUGUCACACUCAGACUGAUCUUAUUAUGCUAGACAUGAUUGAUUUUGAUGUGAUUUUGAGAAUGGAUUGACUAUUCCCCUAUCAUGUGAUCUUUGAUUGAUUUGUCAAGAUCGUUGCCUUAGCUACGCUUGACAUCUCCUCAGUUGUGUGGUGGGUUCUUAUAGUCAUGCACUAACAAAGAUUAUUUCUUGUAUUCAAGCUAGGAUACUGGUAUUAAGGGUUGGUACGACUUAUCUAGCUUAUGUUUGUGAUGUUAGCAUUAAGAGCCCUUCGCUUGACUUAGUUCCUAUAGUCUGUUAGUUCCCUAAUGUUUUCCUAUCGACCGGCAUGGCCUUCCUCAUGAGCGUGAUAUAGACUUUGCUAUUAACCUUAUGCCGGACACCCAACCAAUUUCUAUUGCACCUUACUCUAUGAAUCUUGUCGAGCUAAAGGAGGUAAUAAAUAUUCAGCUUCGGAAUCUUCUGAGUAAGAUAUUUAUUAGAUCGAGUGUAUCACUGUAGGGUACUUCAAUCCUAUUUGUAAAGAGAAAAGAUGGCUUUAUAUGUAUGUAUAUUGAUUAUUGGCAGCUACAUAUGGUGAUAGUGAAAAAUAAGUAUCCUAUGUUUCGUAUAUAUGGUCUGUUUGACCAGCUUCAGGAUGACACCAUAUUUUCUAAGAUUGACUUGAGAUAUAGCUACCAUCAGUUGAGGAUUCGGGUGGAGGACAUCCCUAAGACAACCUUCAGGACUCUCUACAACCAUUACGAGUUCUUGGUGAUGUCUUUUGGGUUGACCAAUGUCCCAGAAACGUUCAUAGACUUGAUGAACUAGCUAUUCAAGCCUUAUUUGGACCCUUUCAUGAUUGUAUUUAUUGACGACAUCAUUGUGUAUUCCAAGAAUAAGGAGGAGCACGAGUAGCAUUUGAGGAUUGUGCUCCACAGCUUGAGAGUUCAUCGGCUUUAUGCCAAAUUUUAAAAGUGCAUGUUCUGGCUUGAGUGUGUAGCAUUCUUGGGGCACGACCAUCCUUUUCUCAUAUACCCUAUAAAUAGGGGCAGAUAGCUACCCAUGAAAAUGUGAUCGUGGGUGCUACUUGUUCCACCCAUUUGUUAGUUCACCUGGCUAUUUUGAUUUGUCCAAUUUAGCCCAUCAUAAAUUUUAAUAAUAUAUAAUUCAGAUUGACCCAUGAGAAAUUUUUUUAAAAUAUAUUUUAAAAGGCUUUUUUGGAUAUGCUUCAUAUAUCCAUAAUGAAGGUUCUCUUUCAAAGGUAGAUAGAGAAAUUUAGGAAAACAAACAAGGAAAAUAAAAUUUCGUAAGAAUUAAAUGGACUGUGUUCAAAUAGAAAAAAAUCUUUCAUAUAGAGAAACAAAUGAAAGUCUAAUUAUCAUAUGAUGAAAUACAUGACUUAAAUGUUGCCAAGAUUUGAUUAAUGAUAUGAAAUAGAUAUUAUGUCAAAUACAAUCUCAAAAAUUAGCUCAUGCAACAAAAACUAUCUAAGAUUAUAUAAAGAAACCUAGACGAACCUACAUAAGUAGGGAAAAGAUCUUCUACAUAUAAUUAGUUUCUACUCUUACCCAUUUGUAAACUAUUUGUGCCUUUUGAGGAUCCCAAUAGUGGAAUUGAAUAUGUGACUAGUGACCAACUCUUUUUCUAAAAU